RNAcentral lists this long non-coding RNA (321 nucleotides) under Elaeis guineensis (African oil palm). RNAcentral describes it as "long non-coding RNA (EGUI_LNC005671)". The record is from RNAcentral. Lineage: Eukaryota; Viridiplantae; Streptophyta; Magnoliopsida; Arecales; Arecaceae.
CAUGCAAUGUGAGAAUGACAUAUAUAAAUUAAUAGAACAUUUGAAACUCUAAAAUUGAAAGAAUAUGGAUACCUUUCGAUACUUUGAACCCUCCCGACUCAACACACCAAUAAAGAACCCUCAUGUCGGCGACCGAUCUCUCCCAUCCAGUACAAAUGAAAAGGAAUGAGUGAUCAAAUAAAGCUGCAGCUAUAACAUUUUGAAAAAUGGUGCCCUUUCGAUUAUGAAAGUGGGAUUUUUGAUCUUAUCAAUCAGUGCAGGUACGUGCAUACCAUCUACCACGUCGAUAGCAUUCUGUAAUGCGAACUAACUAUGUUAGGG